This 625-nucleotide ribosomal RNA is filed under the name basidiomycete yeast sp. HA1554. RNAcentral's name for it is "eukaryotic LSU rRNA". It matches the Rfam family "Eukaryotic large subunit ribosomal RNA", at positions 72 to 683 of the family's 3401-position model. The record is from RNAcentral. Lineage: Eukaryota; Fungi; Basidiomycota.
GGAUUCCCCUAGUAACGGCGAGUGAAGCGGGAUGAGCUCAAAUUUAAAAUCUGGCUGCCUCAGGUGGUCCGAGUUGUAGUCUCGAGAAGUGUUUUCCGCGUUGGCCUGUGUACAAGUCCUUUGGAAUAAGGCGUCAUAGAGGGUGAGAAUCCCGUCCUUGACACAGAUCCCCAAUGCUUUGUGAUGCGCUCUCAAAGAGUCGAGUUGUUUGGGAAUGCAGCUCAAAAUGGGUGGUAAAUUCCAUCUAAAGCUAAAUAUUGGCGAGAGACCGAUAGCGAACAAGUACCGUGAGGGAAAGAUGAAAAGCACUUUGGAAAGAGAGUUAAACAGUACGUGAAAUUGUUGAAAGGGAAACGAUUGAAGUCAGUCAUGCUCGUAGGGAUUCAACCGGUUCUGCCGGCCUAUUUCCCUACUUGCAGGCCAGCAUCAGUUUUGACCGGUGGAAAAGGUUGGAGGGAAUGUGGCAUCCUCGGAUGUGUUAUAGCCCUCUUUCGCAUACAUCGGUUGGGACUGAGGAACGCAGCACGCCUUUAUGGUCGGUCUUCGGACACGUACGUGCUUAGGAUGCUGGCAUAAUGGCUUUAAACGACCCGUCUUGAAACACGGACCAAGGAGUCUAACAUGU